GCCAGGGCGGGUGGAGGCGGAGCUGGAGGAUCCUGGCUCUCUGGUCCUUUGCCCGCUGGUGGGAUGUCAAAAGGUGUGUUGGUGGCCUGGUGGUCGGAGGCAACUUGCUUUUAAGACCCUCAUAGCCAGGCUAGAACCUCUACUGCAAUGACGAAUAGAAAUGGAGGGACCCAUCCCUGCAUUUUUACCUGAAUGUACCAGCACCCACCCCACAGGACCUUCAGAGACAGCAAGGAGCAGGCGGCAUUAUUGUACAUUUGUCGCUGCUGCUGACAGACCUCAAACAAAGCAAAGAAAUUGUUGACCCACCUCACGGAAUUUACAACAAAAUGUUUAUAGCAUUUCUGGGUAGAAACAAUGGCCAACUCCAUCUUUCUUGGCAUGACUUUUUAUUGAUUACAGACUCACAGUCUUGAAAUCAUCUGAAUAUAGUGCUU
This is a long non-coding RNA of Equus asinus (donkey), 437 nucleotides long. NCBI's taxonomy places the organism in Eukaryota, Metazoa, Chordata, Mammalia, Perissodactyla, Equidae. The record is from Ensembl.